GGGGAUGUAGCUCAGUGGUAGAGUACUUGCCUACCAUACGUAAGUGCCUGGGUUCAAUUUCCAGUACCUCAA
RNAcentral lists this transfer RNA (72 nucleotides) under Heterocephalus glaber (naked mole-rat). It matches the Rfam family "tRNA". From Rfam's summary of the family: Transfer RNA (tRNA) molecules are approximately 80 nucleotides in length. Their secondary structure includes four short double-helical elements and three loops (D, anti-codon, and T loops). The record is from Rfam by way of RNAcentral. Lineage: Eukaryota; Metazoa; Chordata; Mammalia; Rodentia; Bathyergidae.